GCCGGUUUGGCUCAGUGGAUGGAGCGUCAGCCCUUGGACUGAAAGGUCACGGGUUCGAUUCCCGUCAAGGGCA
Non-coding RNA from Myotis brandtii (Brandt's bat), 73 nucleotides. The record is from Rfam. Lineage: Eukaryota; Metazoa; Chordata; Mammalia; Chiroptera; Vespertilionidae.